CACCCCCCCAGCUGUCCCCUGGGAACUUGCUGCCACGAGGCCUCUCGGUGCUCACCACUCUGGCUCUGCCGUCCCCCUCUCUGGCACAGAUGUUCUCCUGCCUGGCUCAUCCUCUCUGCUCCGUGUUACUUCUCUGCAUCCCCUCCCCUCUGCUGCGCCUGUUACCCAUUUUCCUCACUUGCCGAGAGGUGCAGAGUGCACCAUGGAGAAUGCUGCCUCUGCCUCCCAUGUGCUUCUUUGAGGCCCAGGGAAGGUUCCCGUUGGCUCCUGCCACGUGUUUUGCAGCACCACAGGUCUGGGACCGGCUUGACCCAAACUCCCAGUUUCCCCCAUAUACUUCUCGGCAGGUCCGGUUUCCUCCUCUCUGAAACGCCUUUUGCCCGUCUUUCUGUUGAGCUGCUGGUCUCUUUGGUGCGGAGUUGUGGGAGCUGGUUCUGAAGCCUGGGUGCUCAUCUCCCCUUGGUUGUUUGCGUUUCAGAUUCCUCCUCUGGCCCUCGGGGGCUGCUCUCCUCCUCCCUUUGCAUGCCUGCUUUGCACUCGGCAUUCACCUAGACUCUGGAAGUUGACUCUCCAAGUCCACAGGAGGAAGCUGCAUCACAAGGCACCUGCAGUCACCCACGAGCUACUUUGCCGCCACUGCUUAGGUGUGGUGCCUGCACACAGAGGGUGGCCCAGCCGAGUUGGAACCUUGGGAGUUUCCGUGAACUUCUGGCAACCUCCUCACUUGCAUUCAUAUCACAAGCCAGAAAAGCACCUUCAAUCGGGGGCGGGGCGAGGCUCAAUUCCAUGUUUCCAUCUUCUGAGUUUCAAUAACAUCUUCUUUACUGUCCUCAGUCUCUGAGCAAACAAGCAACGACCCCCGCGCCAGGCCCUCCACAGCUUGAGGGAGGGCAUCCAAACGUCACACUGUGGCUGAGUGACAGUGUGUGGUCCAGCUUAUUUGUUUACGAGAUUCAGGUGUGGGGGAUCUGGAGCACGUGCUGCCAUCCCAUAGCUAUGGUGAUGGGGGCUUGAAUGGGUGGACUAAUGCACUCUGUUGCAGAAGACCCACUCGGCCAACUCCUGAGUAUCUGCAUGCUCGCUGUGGCGACUUUGGAAAGUACAGAAAGUAUACGAAGAAUCAGGACAAAGGUUGCUCAGGAGGCACUGCCCGGAGGCGUGAAUGCUCACAGUUUGGGUCUAUUUCCCCACUUCUGUUUUUGCUGAGGAAGAUUAGCAUUGAGCUAGCAACUGUGCCAAUCUCCCUCCAAUUUAUAUGUGGGUCGCUGCCAUAGCGUGGCUGGUGAGUGCCCCAGAAUCCAAACCUGUGCCCCCGGGCUGCCGAAGCCUAGGGCGCUGAACUUAAGCACUAUGCCAUGGGGCUGACCCUCCCCCCAUUCUUUUUCCGUGUAGUUCCUCUUUACUCAGUUGAGCUCCUGCUGUGUGACCGUUCUGUCUUAUGUUUUUUCGUUUAACAUUAAGUGUUAUCCCAUGUUCUGAAAGAGUCCUCAGAAGACAUGUCACUCAGGUCUGCACCUUGUUGUGGAGUGUAUUGGAUUCCAGGCUCUCCCUGCUCAAGCCCAACUGACAAAUGUUCGAGAAUGGCCCAGCACACCUUGGACCCAGUGACGUCCUCUGGUCAGAAACUCCAGCACGGGGGUCCUCCUGAAGUGGACGCGGAGAGCGAGUUUAUUGAGACUCCAGUGUCAAUGUCGGGUUGGACGCUGUGUCCAACAGCCUCCCACGGUCUGGUGAUCGGUGGUCAGAGACUUGAUCAGCGAGUAGCUUCCAUGGCAGAAAGCUCCAUGCAGUGCUUGGGGGUUGUGAGUAUGAAAACAAAGUAUACUAAGACUAAUUUGUUGGUACACUGUAAAGUAUUCUCCUUUCCUUCCUCUGAGUAUUCCUGCCUUCUUGAUCUUUCUGACUUUCCCAAGACAAAGAGAUGUCAAAUAUAUAAUGAUGGAUAUUAAAACAAACAGACUCCUAAUGCUCAUUACUGUGAAGAUAUAGCAGUCUAGUUUGCGUUUUCCUUGUGAAGAGCCUAUACUGGGAGCCUAAAGGUUGGGAUGUGAGCCCAUUGUUUGCCUUCCAAGGGCCCAUGAGGACAGUAGCACUCCCUUUUUUGAUUUAUGUGUGUCCAUGUGGUUCAUAGGCUGGGCCAGUGCAUAUGGCCCACAGAGGGGCUGAAGGGUGUGUGGCCAGGAGGUGGUGGAAUGACGAUGUCCAGAGUUUGGGCUUUAGGGUCCGGGGACCUGGGUUUGGACAUCAACUCUUCUCUUCCUGUGACCUUGGAACUUAGUGUCUCUGUCCUCUCUUGUAAACCAGGUGGCACAAAUGCUGCUUCCCUCACAGGGCUGUUUCCAGAGCAGAGCCUUGUAUAUCAUGUCCUCUCCUGGUGAGGCUCGAGUUCUCAAUUUUUGCUUCUACUCUGCAGGUUGGAGGUUAUUCCAGAAACACUGACUAUGAAGAUUUUUCUUGGUUCCCAGGCUUUGUAAAUUUCAGAGUUUUCUAACAGUGGUCAAGGGACUAUGAUGUGAACUUGGCAAAAGUCCCUUAUGCUCUUUGGAAGAUCUCAGUUGUGCCAUGUAGAAAAUGAGAUGAUUGGUCUAGAAUAAUGGUUCUCACACUUUUGUUGCCGUGGAAUAUCUUGGUCUGGCCAGAGGUUCCACCCCGCAAACAAAUCAGAGGCAGGCUGCUCAGCUAAAGCAAGGCCCAAUCCACCCACUCCUUCUUCCCAAUCUCUCCUUGGGCCAUUCUCCAUAGAGGCCCAUAAAGCACGCCACAGAACACAGUUUGAAAACUGGUGUUCUAGAUCUGUGGUUCUCAAACUUUAAUGAGCAUUCAGAUCCCUCAGUGAUCUUGUCAGAUGUAGCUUCUGAUUCAGAAGUUCUGGGUGCACUGGAGAUUCUGCAUUUCUGACCAGAUCCCAGGUGAUGCCUAGGUGGCUGGUCCAUGCAUAGCAUUUUGAAAAGAAAAGUCUCAUCACAGAAUGCCUUGUACAUCUCAAAUCCUUUGAUUUUGAGUACUUAUUGAUACUCUGAUUAUAUCAUAAAUUGAAAAUUUGUAUAAGAUGAAUUUUUCUAUUGGGGGCAAAAUCCUCGAUUAUGCAGAUGUAGAAACUGACCUUCUGUGAUAUGAAGGAGACAGCAAAUAUUUGUUUCUCUCCCAACUUUGAAUGUAUGAAGCAUCUGUAAAAUAUUUUGUAAGGAGCGCAAUUUGAGUUAAGAGGUUGUUGAAUUAUCCAUGCGAUCAGGGAAAGUUGCACUUUUUUUGGUUGUAGUAUGGAUCCUAAGGACGUCUAAUUAUGGGAGUUAAUGGACACUUUUCCAAGGGAGCUUAUGGCAGAAACAAGUGUGACCUGCUC
Equus asinus (donkey) is the source of this 3343-nucleotide long non-coding RNA. Lineage: Eukaryota; Metazoa; Chordata; Mammalia; Perissodactyla; Equidae. The record is from Ensembl.